AUUGAACGCUGGCGGCAUGCUUUACACAUGCAAGUCGAACGGCAGCGGGGGCUUCGGCCUGCCGGCGAGUGGCGAACGGGUGAGUAAUGCAUCGGAACGUGCCCAGUCAUGGGGGGAUAACUACGCGAAAGCGUAGCUAAUACCGCAUACGCCCUGAGGGGGAAAGCGGGGGAUCGCAAGACCUCGCGUGAUUGGAGCGGCCGAUGUCGGAUUAGCUAGUUGGUGGGGUAAAGGCCUACCAAGGCGACGAUCCGUAGCGGGUCUGAGAGGAUGAUCCGCCACACUGGGACUGAGACACGGCCCCAGACUCCUACGGGAGGCAGCAGUGGGGGAAUUUUUGGACAAUGGGGGGGCGAACCCCUGAUCCAGCCAUGCCGCGUGAGUGAGAAGGCCUCGGUUGUAAGACGUCUUUCUAGACGG
This 420-nucleotide ribosomal RNA is filed under the name uncultured bacterium. Its description in RNAcentral is "partial 16S ribosomal RNA". It matches the Rfam family "Bacterial small subunit ribosomal RNA", at positions 28 to 444 of the family's 1533-position model. The record is from RNAcentral.